RNAcentral lists this ribosomal RNA (482 nucleotides) under uncultured bacterium. RNAcentral's name for it is "partial 16S ribosomal RNA". It matches the Rfam family "Bacterial small subunit ribosomal RNA", at positions 28 to 507 of the family's 1533-position model. The record is from RNAcentral.
GACGAACGCUGGCGGCGUGCCUAACACAUGCAAGUCGAACGGAACUGUUUUGAAAGAUUUCUUCGGAAUGAAUUUGAUUUAGUUUAGUGGCGGACGGGUGAGUAACGCGUGAGUAACCUGCCUUCAAGAGGGGAAUAACAUUCUGAAAAGAAUGCUAAUACCGCAUGACAUAUCGGAACCACAUGGUUUUGAUAUCAAAGAUUUUAUCGCUUGAAGAUGGACUCGCGUCCGAUUAGUUAGUUGGUGAGGUAACGGCUCACCAAGACCGCGAUCGGUAGCCCGACUGAGAGGUUGAACGGCCACAUUGGGACUGAGACACGGCCCAGACUCCUACGGGAGGCAGCAGUGGGGGAUAUUGCGCAAUGGGGGCAACCCUGACGCAGCAACGCCGCGUGAAGGAUGAAGGUUUUCGGAUUGUAAACUUCUUUUAUUAAGGACGAAAAAUGACGGUACUUAAUGAAUAAGCUCCGGCUAACUACGUG